This 253-nucleotide ribosomal RNA is filed under the name uncultured bacterium. RNAcentral describes it as "partial 16S ribosomal RNA". It matches the Rfam family "Bacterial small subunit ribosomal RNA", at positions 524 to 776 of the family's 1533-position model. The record is from RNAcentral.
UACGUAGGGUGCGAGCGUUGUCCGGAAUUAUUGGGCGUAAAGAGCUCGUAGGCGGCUUGUCGCGUCGACUGUGAAAUCCCGCGGCUCAACUGCGGGUCUGCAGUCGAUACGGGCAGGCUAGAGUUCGGUAGGGGAGACUGGAAUUCCUGGUGUAGCGGUGAAAUGCGCAGAUAUCAGGAGGAACACCGGUGGCGAAGGCGGGUCUCUGGGCCGAAAUUGACGCUGAGGAGCGAAAGCGUGGGGAGCAAACAGG